GAAGAGCAGAUGUUGUCCGUCCGACCGACGAGAACUAUGGGGCAAGAAAAUCGAAGAAAGAAGAAGAAAGAAGAAGAAGAAGAUAAAACCUAUCCUUGAGGACACAUUAGUCGCAUGUUUCUCUGCGUUCUCUUGGUUGCACAUGC
Caenorhabditis elegans is the source of this 146-nucleotide non-coding RNA. NCBI's taxonomy places the organism in Eukaryota, Metazoa, Nematoda, Chromadorea, Rhabditida, Rhabditidae. The record is from Ensembl.